ACAUUGUUCAGAAACACGUCAGAAAAGCCUCCAGAGCCUGAUACCGUGUGCUUCACUGGGAGAGAGGAACCGGGCCCUGGGAACCUCUCUGCCACGACCGCCUGGAGAACUCACAUUCCGCUCCGGGCCUCUGUUUCCACAUCUCCAGUACUUCCGUGCACCCUCCAAGCCCCCUCGGGCUCGGGUUUACUUGCUGGAACCGAGGGAAGGGAAGGAGCGUCUGAGCAGGGCGGGCAUGGGGAGACAUCAGGGGCGCUCAGAGACAAGCCUGCAGGGGAGCCCGACCCCCGGCCCCUUGGGCUCAGCUCCCAGGGCCUGGGGAAGAGCUAAGAGAGAGCCAAGGUCUGGCUGCUGGCUCUGUUCCCGGCAUAUUUGGGGUCUGUGGGCCAGGCCCUGGGGACAGAAAAAGGGUCCCUGGAGCCUGCCAGCCCUGAAGCCUAUCCUCGGAGCACUCACGGCAAGGCAACACCCACAACAGAUAGGAAAGGGCACCAGGGCCUCCGCGUUCGUCAUCCCCCUUGGAUCCCGGGACACACGCCUGCGGGGAAAUCCAUCUUCCUGCUGGAGAGGUGGAGUGAGUGACAGCCACCCCCACGCCCCUGGAAAGACCUGCAGCGUCUGCUUUGAGCAGUCAAUCUGUCUCUCUCUUUAUCCCUCUCCCUUAUCUUCCUUACUCUCUUUCAUUCCUUUUUUUUCCUCUUUCUUUUCUCCCUUCUUCUCCCACCCUUCCUUCUUUCCCAUCCAGCAAUGGGACAGCCCACCAGGCCCUGCGUGUCCGUAGAGACGGCCGUCUGCUUAACAGAAAGAAGGAACGGAAGAUGACACAAGGCUGGUGGCUGCCAACCUCCCAGCCGGAGCCCAGCAAUUAGACCUUGGUCUCAACACGCCUGCCUCAUCCAAACCCAAGGAGCGUCUGCUUUCCGGCUGCUAAAGGGUGUGUGCGUGUGUGCAUGUGUGCGUGUGUGUGUGUCCACACCAGGCUUCCCUUUUCAUGAUGCUAAGUAAGACCUGAGUAAUAGAUGCCUUUCUGAGAACUGAGAAACCCCAAGAUAUUUACGUACUACGGAGAAAUAAAUGUUUUGCCGAAUCCACA
This is a long non-coding RNA of Aethalodelphis obliquidens (Pacific white-sided dolphin), 1093 nucleotides long. RefSeq lists it as uncharacterized. The transcript has 2 exons. Lineage: Eukaryota; Metazoa; Chordata; Mammalia; Artiodactyla; Delphinidae. The record is from RefSeq and is a predicted model, not a curated record.